UAGCAUAUCAAUAAGCGGAGGAAAAGAAACUAACAAGGAUUCCCCUAGUAACUGCGAGUGAAGCGGGAAAAGCUCAAAUUUAAAAUCUGGCGGUCUUUGGCCCGUCCGAGUUGUAGUCUGGAGAAGUGCUUUCCGCGCUGGACCGUGUAUAAGUCUCUUGGAACAGAGCGUCAUAGAGGGUGAGAAUCCCGUCUUUGACACGGACUACCAGUGCUUUGUGAUGCGCUCUCAAAGAGUCGAGUUGUUUGGGAAUGCAGCUCAAAAUGGGUGGUAAAUUCCAUCUAAAGCUAAAUAUUGGCGAGAGACCGAUAGCGAACAAGUACCGUGAGGGAAAGAUGAAAAGCACUUUGGAAAGAGAGUUAAACAGUACGUGAAAUUGCUGAAAGGGAAACGCUUGAAGUCAGUCGCGUCUGCCGGAACUCAGCCUUGCUUUUGCUUGGUGCACUUUCCGGUUGACGGGCCAGCAUCGAUUUUGACCGUCGGAAAAGGGCUAGGGAAAUGUGGCACCUUCGGGUGUGUUAUAGUCUCUAGUCGCAUACGGCGGUUGGGAUCGAGGACCGCAGCGCGCCGCAAGGCAGGGGUUCGCCCACUUUCGCGCUUAGGAUGCUGGCAUAAUGGCUUUAAACGACCCGUCUUGAAACACGGACCAAGGAGUCUAACAAACCUGCGAGUGUUUGGGUGGUAAACCCGAGCGCGUAAUGAAAGUGAAAGUUGAGACCUCUGUCGUGGAGGGCAUCGACGCCCGGACCUGACGUUCUCUGAAGGAUCCGCGGUAGAGCAUGUUUGUUGGGACCCGAAAGAUGGUGAACUAUGCCUGAAUAGGGUGAAGCCAGAGGAAACUCUGGUGGAGGCUCGUAGCGAUUCUGACGUGCAAAUCGAUCGUCAAAUUUGGGGUAUAGGGGCGAAAGACUAAUCGAACCAUCUAGUAGCUGGUCCUGCGAGUUU
Molecule: ribosomal RNA, 945 nt
Filed under: Microporus sp. (in: basidiomycete fungi)
Lineage: Eukaryota; Fungi; Basidiomycota; Agaricomycetes; Polyporales; Polyporaceae
Description: Microporus sp. (in: Fungi) partial large subunit ribosomal RNA
Rfam family: Eukaryotic large subunit ribosomal RNA
Source: RNAcentral